RNAcentral lists this transfer RNA (59 nucleotides) under Loxodonta africana (African savanna elephant). It matches the Rfam family "tRNA". Rfam says of the family: Transfer RNA (tRNA) molecules are approximately 80 nucleotides in length. Lineage: Eukaryota; Metazoa; Chordata; Mammalia; Proboscidea; Elephantidae. The record is from Rfam by way of RNAcentral.
AGUGGUUAAGCACUUGGCUGCUAACCAAAAGAUGGGUGGUUCAAAUCCACCAGCCACUC